This 449-nucleotide ribosomal RNA is filed under the name uncultured bacterium. RNAcentral describes it as "bacterial SSU rRNA". It matches the Rfam family "Bacterial small subunit ribosomal RNA", at positions 17 to 507 of the family's 1533-position model. The record is from RNAcentral.
UCCUGGCUCAGGAUGAACGCUGGCGGUAUGCCUAACACAUGCAAGUCGUACGAGAGUUUUUAACUCUAGUGGCGGACGGGUGAGUAACACGUGAGAAUUUGCCUUUAGGAGGGGGAUAACAAUUGGAAACGAAUGCUAAUACCCCCAUAUGCUUUUGAGUGAAAUGGAUUUUAUCCGCCUAGAGAGAAGCUCGCGGCUGAUUAGCUUGUUGGUAAGGUAAGAGCUUACCAAGGCGACGAUCGGUAGCUGGUCUGAGAGGAUGAUCAGCCACACUGGAACUGAGACACGGUCCAGACUCCUACGGGAGGCAGCAGUGGGGAAUAUUGGACAAUGGGCGCAAGCCUGAUCCAGCAAUUCCGCGUGGGUGAAGAAGGUCUUCGGAUUGUAAAGCCCUUUCGUUGGGGACGAUGAUGACGGUACCCAAAGAAGAAGCCCCGGCUAACUUCGUG